Molecule: long non-coding RNA, 248 nt
Filed under: Hordeum vulgare
Lineage: Eukaryota; Viridiplantae; Streptophyta; Magnoliopsida; Poales; Poaceae
Description: long non-coding RNA (HVUL_LNC004887)
Source: RNAcentral
UUUUUUUCUUCUUUCCUUUGGUAUUUUCCCUUGUGGUGCCAUGGCCCUAUUGGGUUGGCCUCACUAGCCCACUAAGGGCUGGUGCGCCACCCUAGGAUCACUAGGCUCACUCCCGGGUGGGUGGGCCCCUCCCAGUGACACUUGGAACCCAUUCGUCACUCCGGGUACACUGCCGGAAAUGCCCGAAACUUUCCGGUGACCAAAUGAAACCAUCAUAUAUAUCAAUCUUCGUUUCCGGACCAUUGCAG